UACGGGGGGUGCAAGCGUUGUUCGGAUUUACUGGGCGUAAAGGGCGCGUAGGCGGUCGUGACAAGUCACUUGUGAAAUCUCCGGGCUUAACUCGGAACGGUCAAGUGAUACUGUCGGACUAGAGUACAGAAGGGGCAACUGGAAUUCUCGGUGUAGCGGUGAAAUGCGUAGAUAUCGAGAGGAACACCUGCGGCGAAGGCGGGUUGCUGGGCUGAUACUGACGCUGAGGCGCGAAAGCCAGGGGAGCGAACGGG
RNAcentral lists this ribosomal RNA (254 nucleotides) under uncultured bacterium. RNAcentral's name for it is "partial 16S ribosomal RNA". It matches the Rfam family "Bacterial small subunit ribosomal RNA", at positions 524 to 776 of the family's 1533-position model. The record is from RNAcentral.